This 1220-nucleotide ribosomal RNA is filed under the name metagenome. RNAcentral describes it as "bacterial SSU rRNA". It matches the Rfam family "Bacterial small subunit ribosomal RNA", at positions 284 to 1520 of the family's 1533-position model. The record is from RNAcentral.
UAGCCGAUCUGAGAGGAUGUACGGCCACAUUGGGACUGAGACACGGCCCAGACUCCUACGGGAGGCAGCAGUGGGGAAUAUUGCACAAUGGAGGAAACUCUGAUGCAGCGACGCCGCGUGAGUGAAGAAGUAUUUCGGUAUGUAAAGCUCUAUCAGCAGGGAAGAAAAUGACGGUACCUGACUAAGAAGCACCGGCUAAAUACGUGCCAGCAGCCGCGGUAAUACGUAUGGUGCAAGCGUUACCCGGAUUUACUGGGUGUAAAGGGAGCGUAGGUGGCAAGGCAAGCCAGAAGUGAAAACCCGGGGCUCAACCGCGGGAUUGCUUUUGGAACUGUCAUGCUAGAGUGCAGGAGGGGUGAGCGGAAUUCCUAGUGUAGCUGUGAAAUGCGUAGAUAUUAGGAGGAACACCAGAGGCGAAGGCGGCUCACUGGACUGUAACUGACACUGAGGCUCGAAAGCGUGGGGAGCAAACAGGAUUAGAUACCCUGGUAGUCCACGCGGUAAACGAUGAAUACUAGAUGUCGGGUAGCAUAGCUACUCGGUGUCGUCGCAAACGCAAUAAGUAUUCCACCUGGGGAGUACGUUCGCAAGAAUGAGACUCAAAGGAAUUGACGGGGACCCGCACAAGCGGUGGAGCAUGUGGUUUAAUUCGAAGCAACGCGAAGAACCUUACCUGCUCUUGACAUCCCAUUCGAUAGAGGGUAAUGCCUCUAGCCCUUCGGGGGAAUGGAGACAGGUGGUGCAUGGUUGUCGUCAGCUCGUGUCGUGAGAUGUUGGGUUAAGUCCCGCAACGAGCGCAACCCUUAUUGUCAGUAGCCAGCAGGUGAAGCUGGGCACUCUGAUGAGACUGCCGGGGAUAACCCGGAGGAAGGUGGGGAUGACGUCAAAUCAUCAUGCCCCUUAUGAGCAGGGCUACACACGUGCUACAAUGGCGUAAACAGAGGGAAGCGAAGGAGUGAUCCGGAGCAAAUCUCAAAAAUAACGUCUCAGUUCGGAUUGUAGUCUGCAACUCGACUACAUGAAGCUGGAAUCGCUAGUAAUCGCAGAUCAGAGUGCUGCGGUGAAUACGUUCCCGGGUCUUGUACACACCGCCCGUCUCACCAUGGGAGUCGGUAAUGCCCGAAGUCAGUGACUCAACCUUAAAGGAGAGAGCUGCCGAAGGCAGGACUGGUAACUGGGGUGAAGUCGGAACAAGGUAGCCGUAUCGGAAGGUGCGGCUG